Molecule: small RNA, 73 nt
Filed under: Salix viminalis (osier)
Lineage: Eukaryota; Viridiplantae; Streptophyta; Magnoliopsida; Malpighiales; Salicaceae
Source: RNAcentral
AUGUAAUAACCGAAAUGCCCCAAAAUAAGACAAAAUACAAGAAAAAACGGCGGGGGUGUCUUGGUAAUUACCC